UUGAUAACAGAACACAACCUUCAUCUGCUUGCACCAAUUCUCAUAAUUAUUGUUCUUGAGGAUCAUAAAAUUCGCUGGAAAAUGUUUGUUUGGAUGAUUCAUUGCCAUCGUGAUUUUAUUUCCACGAAUCGCUUAAACCGGAGCUCUGAUACCAGAUGUUGAAAAUCCACCACAAUCUAUGGAGAAUUUCGAUCAAUAUUGAUGAACAAGAUUG
RNAcentral lists this long non-coding RNA (214 nucleotides) under Lathyrus oleraceus (garden pea). Its description in RNAcentral is "Pisum sativum (pea) long non-coding RNA (PSAT_LNC002180)". The record is from RNAcentral. Lineage: Eukaryota; Viridiplantae; Streptophyta; Magnoliopsida; Fabales; Fabaceae.